RNAcentral lists this transfer RNA (69 nucleotides) under Sylvietta virens (Green crombec). RNAcentral describes it as "tRNA-Asp". The record is from RNAcentral. Lineage: Eukaryota; Metazoa; Chordata; Aves; Passeriformes; Sylviidae.
GAGAUGUUAGUAUAACAAAUACAUAGCCUUGUCAAGACUAUACUACAAGUGAAACCCUUGUACAUCUCU